This is an RNA transcript of Oncorhynchus nerka (sockeye salmon), 4672 nucleotides long. It is a transcript of the gene named inverted formin-2-like, with no coding region annotated. NCBI's taxonomy places the organism in Eukaryota, Metazoa, Chordata, Actinopteri, Salmoniformes, Salmonidae. The transcript has 22 exons. The record is from RefSeq and is a predicted model, not a curated record.
GUCCGUGAGAUGCAGAGAACAGCGCAGCAGGGUUUGGACACAACAGUCUAUAUUCCAUAGUUUCUACUAGAACGCAGGAAUUGUGGGAAAGAGGUUACUUUUCGAUAUAAGUGUUGCCUUCGAUUUGCUGUGGAAUUCGUCCUUCGUGCAGGCUAAGGGACUCAGUAACCUCACCUUUAUUGGUUGCCAUGGCGGCCAAGGCAUCCAAAGGGAAGUGGGAGGCCCUAAAGGAGCACCUGACCAGCAGCCCCCCGGACCCAGAUGCUCACCUAGAGGCCAACUUGGAGAACGCAGAUCCAGAGCUAUGCAUACGACUGCUACAGGUACCCACGGUGGUCAACUACUCAGGGCUGCGGAGGCGUCUGGAGGGGAGUGACCAGGACUGGAUGGUGCAGUUCCUGGAGCUCAAUGGGCUGGAUCUGCUGAUGGAGGCCCUGGAAAGGUUGUCUGGCCGUGGGUGUGCCCGCAUCGCUGAUGCCAUCCUCCAGCUCACAUGUGUGGCCUGUGUGAAGGCAGUGAUGAACUCCUCCGCUGGGCUGCACUUUAUACUGGACAAUGAGGGAUACGUCAGGACCCUGUCACAAGCACUGGACACGUCCAACACCAUGGUGAAGAUGCAGGUGUUUGAGCUGCUGGCAGCCCUCACCAUGUUCAACCCACAGGGACACCACCUGGUCAUGGACGCCCUGGAUCACUAUAAAAGUGUGAAGAUCCACCAGUACCGCUUCAGCGUCAUCAUGAACGAGCUGCAUGCGACGGACAACGUGCCGUAUAUGGUCAUCCUCAUGAGUGUGGUCAACGUGAUCAUCUACAGGGUACAGGACCUGAGGAAGAGGGACAAACUACGCAAAGAGUUCAUCGGGCUACAAUUACUGGAUUUACUUCCAAAACUGAGGGAGACGGAUGAUGUGGACCUGAACAUCCAGUGUGAGACCUUUGAGGACACCAUGGCAUAUGAUGAUGCUGAGAUGGAGAGCAUGUACGGAGGUAUUGACAUGAGCAGUCACCAGGAAGUCUUCGCCAUACUCUUCACCAAAGUGAGUAGCUCCCCUGCCUCGGUGCAGUUGCUGUCCAUCCUGCACGCGCUGUUGUUGUUGGGGCCGGAACACAGCGAGGUGUGGUUGGCCCUGGAGGCCCUGGCUGACCGUGCUAGUCUGCUGGCACAGGAACCUGAAGUUGACUCCACCGAGCGCUUGAUGGAACGUCUGGUGUCCUCCAAGGCUCAGCAAGGGUCACCUAAGGUCAAGGUCAAGACCACAGACAGGGGCGUUCAGAUAGACCUGAGAGAAAGAUUGACCGAUCAUUUGGUCGUCCUCGUUAAAGGAUCUACCUCCCCUGUUGCCACCCCUCCUUCUCCUCCUCCACCACCACCACUACAAGGCAUGGCAGCUUUCGGCACACCCCCACCCCAACCUCCACCCCCACCACUUUUUGGCUUCUCUGGGAUGCUGUCCCUUCCCCCUCCCCCGCCUCUCCCCGGUCUCCCUCCUACCCAACCUCAUCUACCAGGGAUGGGGUAUGGGAGUCCACCGCCUCCCCCACCCCUGCCUGGCAUGGGUCCCUACCCACCACCACCACCACCCCUGCCUGGGAUGGGUCCCCCACCACCACCACCCCUGCCUGGGAUGGGUCCCCCACCACCACCACCCCUGCCUGGGAUGGGUCCCCCACCCCCACCACCACUGCCUGGUAUGGGCCCCCCACCUCCCCCUGGUGGUGGUGACAUGAUUAUGGCCCAGAGUGUGCAGACGCUGGGCCGAUCCUACUAUGCCCCUCCACCCAAGGCGGGCCGCUGCCCCACACUACGCAUGAAGAAGCUCAACUGGCAGAAGCUGCCAUCCAGAGUGGUGACUGACAGUCACUCCAUGUGGACAUCGGUACAGUCAGAUUCUCUGGAGCCUGACUACUCCAGUAUUGAGGAGCUCUUCUGUCUGCCAGUGACAGAGUCAAAGGCCAAAGGCAGCGCCCCUGCGGUCAAACAGGAGCCCAAAGAGAUUUCUUUCAUCGAUGCCAAGAAAAAUCUCAACCUGAACAUAUUCUUAAAACAAUUCAGAUGCUCACAUGAGGACAUUGUGGCCAUGAUCCGAAAAGGGGACCGCUCCAAGUUCGAUGUGGAGGUGCUGAAACAGCUACAGAAGCUACAACCAGAGAAGCAUGAGAUGGAUAACCUCACGUCCUACCAGGGAGAGAGACAGAAGUUAGCUGGUGUGGACCAGUUUUAUCUACAGCUCCUAGCUGUUCCUUGCUAUGCCCUGAGGAUCGAGUGCAUGUUGCUGUGUGAGGAGAUCAGCUCAGUGUUACAGAUGAUGCAGCCUAAAGCCGAGCUGCUGGAUGAGGCCUGUGAGAGUCUGAGGGUGAGCACUCGACUGCCAAGCUUCUGCAAGCUCAUUCUGGACGUUGGAAACUUUCUUAACUACGGGAGCCACACGGGGAACGCGGAGGGCUUCAAGAUCGGAACCCUGCUAAAGCUCACUGAGACCAAGGCCAAUAAAAGUCGCAUAACUCUGCUCCACCACAUCCUACAGGAGGCGGAGCAGAACCAUGAUGACCUGUUGAACCUUCCAGAUGAUUUGGAGAUCUGUGAAAAGGCUGCUGGUGUGAAUCUGGAGUCUAUCCAGACAGAGGUGAGCUCGCUCAUCAAGCGGUUGAAAGAUUCAGAGAAGAAGGUGGCUUCCUCUUCUGUGGAGGACAUCAAGGAGCAGUAUCUAACAGCAAUGCAGGGAAGCCUGGAGGCCUGCAGGGAGCUGGAGGAGAGGUUUUUCUCCAUUGACAGGAAGAAGGAGGAUCUGGCACUGUAUCUGUGUGAGGACUCAUCCCGUCUCUCUCUGGAGGAGCUGUUCAGCACUAUAAAGACCUUCAGGGGACUCUUCAUCAAAGCUCUCAAGGACAAUCAGACCCGCCGAGAGCAAGCCAUCAAGGCAGAGAAGAGGAAGAAACAGCAGGAGGAGGAGGAUUCCAAGCGACCAAGAGGGGAUAACGGGAAGAUAAUUCGUAAAGCCCCCCCAGUCCAGGAAGAGGGCUGCAUAAUCGACCACCUGCUAUCUGACAUCAGGAAGGGCUAUGCACUGAGGAAUACCAGGCCCCGGGCCGACAGGACAAGCCUGCCCUCUGCAGACAAGAAAAGGGACAGCAGUCUGCCGGAGCAGGGCACACAGCCUGAGGGAUUGCCUGCUAUAGAUGCUAAAGAUGGAGAUGAAAAGGUGACAUCACCCAAUGACCAAAGACAACAAGACAGAGAUUCAGUCGUAGGGGAGUCCUCAUCCGGCCUCCCCACACACCCCUCACUUAUUUCACAUUCACCCGAAACCUUAGGCCCCUCAGACCUCCAUACCACCACCACCAAGGACCAGGGAACCUGUGAUCACACACAGAGUGAGGACCUCAAACCUGGGAUGGAUUCCUUGGCUGACCGCCUGGUCGAGGAGGAGUCCCCAGAGGUGGAGAGGGUUAAGGCUGCUGAUUCAGAGGUUGAGGAUGUGAACAGGAAUGCAUUCUCAGUUGGUGGGGAUGUUCCAAAGAGCGGAGACACAGAGAUAGAUGGGAACCAGGAAAGUGGACUUGAUGGAAAGGGGUUAGAGGAGAGUCAAUCAUCAGAGUCCCCCUCAAACACAGCUGCUGGUGACGCAGAGCCCAAACCACAGGCACAGAAACGGGGGGAUACUAAGAGACAUAGAGAAGGCUUUUCAGAAUCCCAGAAACACCAUCCACUAACCCUGCAUGGAUCUAACCAGGUAGCCUAGUGGUUAGAGCUUUGGACUAGUAACCGAAAGGUUGCAAGAUCAAAUCCCUGAGCUGACAAGGUGGACGCAAGAAGAAGGACAAGACCAAAGGCAAAAAGAAACAAUGAAUGUUGACGCCAUCUUCCAGUGCUCCACCCCUGUCUGCCAAACAAAUACUAUGGUAUACAUUAACAUUAUACUGUACUUACAAAUAUCUAUAUCAGCCAUGCAUGUUUUUCCUACUUUUUUCAAAGGAUUACCUAAUGAACCUAGGUGAUGCUUGUUUUUCCAAAAUGGAGACUUCCUUAUUAACCCCCUAUAGUGGGGUCUUUGUAUGAUUUACUACAUCAAUAACAGGAUUUGACAAUGAUAUGACAGGAACUGCUUUGCAACCAACCCCAGGAAGUAUGGAUGAUGAUGAUGAUGGGAUAAUUUGCAUGUUACAAUUUCAUCAUGGACAUUCAAUGUAUUGGACACAAUUUCAUUGAAAUAUUAUACAUUAUUUGACAAAAAUCAACAUGUCUAUAAUAAUAGAAUGUUUCAAUUUGAUACUGAGACAAAUGUUUACAGUAGGUCUACAUGUUAUGUUUACUUGUUGAUACAGACUCUCGUUUCAUUUGGCAAAUAGAGGGCCCCUCAUUUCAUUUGGCAAAUAGAGGGCCUCUUUUGCCUACAGCCAAGCAUUGUUGUAAUGACUGUAAUGAAUAUUGGUUCAUGAUCAGUUAGCCAUUAAAUAUAAAAGGUAACAGCAUAGAUAGACCAUAAUAAUAAACUCACCUGUUUUUCCAGAAACAACAAUGUUAUAGUGAUAAUUUGCUCUAGUCUCUUUUGUAACAGUUAUUGUUUCUUAUUGCACUCUGCAUUAACACUGUCAUUUAAAAAAGGCUAUGCUAAUCAGGGAUUUAAUAGGCUAUAAAAAUACUCUAAAUACAAUAAAAUAAUCUGAUACACUC